UGUGGGAGCUGGCUUGCCUGCGAUGACAGUGUGUCAGGCAAAACAUCUGUUACUGAUGCACCGCUAUCGCAGGCAAGCCAGCUUCCACA
Molecule: non-coding RNA, 89 nt
Filed under: Pseudomonas tolaasii NCPPB 2192
Lineage: Bacteria; Pseudomonadati; Pseudomonadota; Gammaproteobacteria; Pseudomonadales; Pseudomonadaceae
Source: RNAcentral